CCACUUGACGCGUUUCACCUAUAAAAGGCUUCCUCAGAAGUGUGGUUGAGGUCCUGGUUCCAUCCGUUUAUAUAGGGAGUCCAUUAAGUGUGAUAAUGUCUUGGUGUGAUGUAGGGCUUACUUCCUGUUCCUGUAACCACCGGUGGAACGCACGCGUCACAGCGGGUUGUAGGGCAGCGUUGCCGCCAGUGGAUAUCAAUCUAAUUUGACUCACAAUUUGACACAAUAUAGUCAGCAUGACAAUAUAACAAUAUUGAUUGAAAUAGCUUUUGAUUUCAG
This is a non-coding RNA of Pelobates cultripes (western spadefoot toad), 279 nucleotides long. NCBI's taxonomy places the organism in Eukaryota, Metazoa, Chordata, Amphibia, Anura, Pelobatidae. The record is from the annotation of a GenBank genome assembly.